This is a long non-coding RNA of Manis pentadactyla (Chinese pangolin), 535 nucleotides long. RefSeq lists it as uncharacterized. The transcript is spliced from 2 exons. Lineage: Eukaryota; Metazoa; Chordata; Mammalia; Pholidota; Manidae. The record is from RefSeq and is a predicted model, not a curated record.
GCCGGGCGUUCACUUACUUGGAUGCAGCCUCCUCCUCGUAUUUCCGCCGCAGCUCCAGCAGCUCGGUCUGCGUGGCCUUCAACGCUGGGAGAAAGUAAAGAGCCAAGCAAAGUUUCUGUCAGGAGGGCUUUGCUGGGAAUGCUCGGGAGGCGGAUCCCCUCGGUCAGCGUGGGCCCGGCUGGAGACGUCCCCUCUCUCUGCUCUGGAGGAGAAAAAGAGGGAAAACCACUCAUCGCUGGGAGCAGCAUGACAGCCAGAGCCACUUUCUACAAACCAGAUCGAUUGAUAGUGCUGGGGCAAGAAUCAAUUUCCCAAACUCAGGUGUCGGAGAGAGAGCAGCUGUCGGGACCUGCUGUCACUGUGGUCGCCGGGUUGCAGCCGCGGAGAGCGUGUGUGCUCGAAAGUCCGGUUCCCGUCGUGCUAGCCUCAGACAGCAUGUGCAGAGCCUUCCUCUGCCCUCUCCGACGUGGUCCUGCCUCUUUGGCUGUCAUCUUUUUUUAAAAGUUGUAGUGAAAUAUAUAUAACAUAAUAUUCA